GGCGGCAGGCCUAACACAUGCAAGUCGAACGGCAGCACAGGAGAGCUUGCUCUCUGGGUGGCGAGUGGCGGACGGGUGAGGAAUACAUCGGAAUCUACCUUGUCGUGGGGGAUAACGUAGGGAAACUUACGCUAAUACCGCAUACGACCUACGGGUGAAAGCAGGGGACCUUCGGGCCUUGCGCGAUUGGAUGAGCCGAUGUCGGAUUAGCUAGUUGGCGGGGUAAAGGCCCACCAAGGCGACGAUCCGUAGCUGGUCUGAGAGGAUGAUCAGCCACACUGGAACUGAGACACGGUCCAGACUCCUACGGGAGGCAGCAGUGGGGAAUAUUGGACAAUGGGCGCAAGCCUGAUCCAGCCAUGCCGCGUGGGUGAAGAAGGCCUUCGGGUUGUAAAGCCCUUUUGUUGGGAAAGAAAAGCGAUCGGUUAAUAACCGGUUGUUCUGACGGUACCCAAAGAAUAAGCACCGGCUAACUUCGUGCCAGCAGCCGCGGUAAU
This 497-nucleotide ribosomal RNA is filed under the name uncultured bacterium. Its description in RNAcentral is "bacterial SSU rRNA". It matches the Rfam family "Bacterial small subunit ribosomal RNA", at positions 38 to 524 of the family's 1533-position model. The record is from RNAcentral.